Molecule: long non-coding RNA, 2228 nt
Organism: Lates calcarifer (barramundi perch)
Lineage: Eukaryota; Metazoa; Chordata; Actinopteri; Centropomidae
Exons: 4
Source: RefSeq, a predicted model, not a curated record
UUAGGUGGCAGUAUAUCACUGAACCAGUGAUGUGUAGCGGGAGUUGACGUGCUGGUUUUAAUGUUAAGAGGAGGAUUAACUGUGACACCACCCCUCUACACAGCUCAUGUUUAUUUUGCUGAUGGGAGAGUUUAAUUAUACAACUGCUGAUACACUGAAGAAAACACAGUGAUUCAUAGCAACAGGGUUUAAUCAAACACUCAGAGAACACAAAAUGAUGCUCCUAUUUUAUUUUUUCCUAAGCAUGACUUUAAACACUGAUAUGGUUUCAGGUUCCUCUCUCAGUGACAAAGAAACCAGGAGAAAAAGUCACAAUCUACUGUUCACACAGUAUUGACGACUAUGAUCGAAUCCUCUGGUACAAGCAAUCAAACAGAGAACUUCAGUUCCUGGGAUACAUCAUAAUAAAUACAGCAAAGUCUGAAGAUGGAGUGGAUGUAAAGAUAGAUGGGAAUGCAAACAAAGGCCAGAACUGCACAUUAACAAUUGAAGGACUCAGCCUGAACGACAGUGCAGUGUACUUCUGUGCUGCUAGUUACCACAGUGCUACAUAUCACUGCUCCUCAGUACAAAAACCUGCCUAUUUAUCUCUGUAUUAAAACUCACAGCUUCUUGCACCUGGAAUAAACCAUUUUAACCAAUGUUGGUCUCUCUGCUGAUUCAGAUCAGAGAUUAUAAUGGGAGGUUCUUUCUGUGGAGCAAUGCUGUUUAACAUCACACCUCCCAUUAUAAACAGCAGCCUCAGACAUUCAGUAUGUCUGCUGUGGCUGUGUCUCAUUUCAUCAGAAUCAUAAUGACAGCUCCAAUACUCAUCACAUUUGCAGUCUCAUCUCUGUUGUUUAUUUAAUCCACGACCUUUCCACAGGCAAUUUCAACCAAAACCACGAUCUUUCCUAAACUAACCAAGUAGUUUUUUAUCCCUAAACCUGACCCAGCGAAGAUGGUAUGUUUAUAAUUGUUAACAUGAAGACGAAGCUCUGGUAUGGCUGCUAUUGGGAAGCCCUCCAACCCUCAGGUUGUACCUGAGCAAUGACUUAUAUGGUUGUUUAGGUUAGAAGACUUCUCUCAGACUCAGAGCUGAAAUUAUAAAAAACAAAUAUUUUAUAUAUUGUAUUGUUAUAGCAGGGUUUCAUGGUUCAUUUCAGGUCGUUGUUAUUUAUUGUUAUUUAUUCAUCUCUGUAUUACAGCUCACAGCCUCCUGCACCUGUAUUCCUUCAUCUCAUUAGGUGGCAGUAUAUCAUUACUCAGACUCAGGUUACAAUGUUAAGGGGAGGAGGAAGCUCUAUGACAUCAACCUAAUGACUUCAUGUUGGUUUGCUGAUUGGACAGUUUACUCAAAGAGGAGGUUGAAAUAAUCAGUAUAACUGCUGAUACACUGAAGAAAACACAAUGAUUGAUUUCAACAAGAUCAUAAAUCACAAUCAAACAAAAUGAUUGUCGUUUUAAUAAUCAUUACUUUUAACACUGUUCUGGUUUCAGGUGCCUCUGUCAGUGACAAAGUCCAACAGACUCCAGCUGACAUUCACAAGAAACAAGAAGAAACAGCCAAAAUCUACUGUUCACACAAUGACAACAACUAUAACCAAAUCCUCUGGUACAAGAAGUCAGAUAGAGAACUACAGUUCCUGGGAUACAUGACAGUAAAUACAGGAAAACCAGAGACUGGAGUGGAUGUAAAGAUAGAAGGGGGUGCAAGUAAAGGACAGAACUGCACAUUAACAAUUGAAAGACUAAAACCAAACAACAGUGCAGUGUACUUCUGUGCUGCUAGUUACCACAGUGCUACAUAUCACUGCUCCUCAGUACAAAAACCUGCCUAUUCAUCUCUGUAUUAAAACUCACAGCUUCUUGCACCUGGAAUAAACCAUUUUAACCAAUGUUGGUCUCUCUGCUGAUUCAGAUCAGAGAUUAUAAUGGGAGGUUCUUUCUGUGGAACAAUGCUGUUUAACGUCACACCUCCCAUUAUAAACAGCAGCUUCAGACAUUCAGUAUGUCUGCUGUGGCUGUGUCUCAUUUCAUCAGAAUCAUAAUGACAGCUCCAAUACUCAUCACAUUUGCAGUCUCAUCUCUGUGGCUUCAAGUUCGCUGCCAGGAUGUGACCCAACACCCUGCAAUCAGCUGGAAUUAUGAGUCCAAAUCUGCAGAGAUGAACUGCAGCCACAACAAAGGCAUUACUUAUAACCAGAUGUACUGGUACAGACAGCGUCCAGGAGAGACCAUGACCUUCA